GUUUGUAUAAUCUACCUGCAAAGCCAGAGCACUGCUGCAGAUGUGAGUGCUCCCCUUCCCAACUGUUACCCAAGAGAAAGGAAAGAAGUAUUUCUUCAUCCUUUUCUCAGGAGGGAGCUACUGCAAGCCUCAUUUCCUUUAUAUCCUCAGACCAUUGUGGUCACAGCAACAUUAUUAUGAAACACAAAUUGGAAGUGUUAAAAGAGAAACUGAGGUUUCUGUCCUGCCAAGGCCAGAGGAGGAAGCGUGGGGUCAGGUUCAGCCACCUCGCUGGGGCCGGGUGGGCACUCGGUUGGUAGCACCAAGGAGGGGUUUUCUUGUUUCUCACCCAGAAGGUCUUCCUCUUGCCUGAAUAGCAACUGCUAUAGCUUUGUGAAAAAUUCAUCUUAUGGGAGACCGGAAAAUGAUACUGGCUUGCUUCAGGACUCCCCUUAUAAGAAAUUCCUAAGGAAUAUAUAUGAGUUAUCCCAUAUAAAGGCCCGUAGCACUGAGAAUUACAAUGGGAAUGUUAAAAAGCCCAGGAAAUGAGUAAGUCUUUCUGUUUCUCCAUCCACACUCAUGCAAGCCUUCAGGUUGGGAGAGCCACCAAGCCCCCAUCCCUUCCUUCCUGAACACUGCCCCUGAGCCAGCAGUGCUCUGAGCCACAACUGCACACCCUUGUCCCUUUCUGUUUUGAUCAGCUUCCUUUCCAUGAAUGAGGAACAAGGAAAUCAGAUACAAAAGCUCCUUCACCUGCAUGUAACAUUUGAGGCUGCGAUGUGGAAGGAUGCGGCCCUGGGGUGUAAAAGCAAAGUCUUGCUUUUAGCACACAAACCUUUCUGUCCCACGGCACAAAAGCUGCUUAGGGCAAGGGCUGUGGGUUGGUUGGUUGGUGUCUUUUUUUUUUUUUUUUUUAACAAUAAUAGGGUUUUUAAAAUAAUAAUAUGGUAAUAAUAAUACAUAGGAAUCUUCUUUAGCAUACCUUUAGUGUUUGAUGCCCCAGUGACACAAUACUGCUUGCCUUAUAUUAGUGUCUAGAGGGAGAGGGACUACACACGUUUUGAUACCGUAUUAAUCACGCUUGUAAUUUAGGCAGCCCCAAGGAGCGGCUGCUGCAGGAGGAGCAGCCGGGUCCUUUUUAAUGUAUGAAUGUGCUUUCCAGCCUAUCUCACUGACUGUAGUCUCAAUUUUGCCUGCUACUGCAUGCAGCCUGAGAUGAGUAGACAGCAACACGCUCCAGCUGUAUCUGCACUCCCAGAUUGCUGUAGUACCUGGAGGGGGGUGACAUAGCUAAAAGUGUCAGUCUGGGGAGAGGCCAUCCUCCCAGAGACCCAUCACGUAGGGUGCUGCGGUGCUUCUGUAGGUAACACUGAUAUACCAAGUGUCUUUCACGCUGCAACUGAUCAUUGCUUCAUCCCUCCGAUACAGCACGCACAAACUCCCCUUCUUCUACUUGUUAAUAAGGGGUAAAAAACACACAUUUGUAACCUGUGGGCCAUUGAAAUGUGUAUAUGGGGAGAAAAUAAGGAAAAAUAUGUAAAUUUUAUCGGCUGUGGUUAACAAGCUCCUUUCCACCCAAAUGCCUCUGAAGAAGAGCAUCCCAGAUAGCUCUUCCUGAGAGCAUGGAGGAGCAGGCAGAGCAGGGCAGGCAAUGCCAAGGGCAGAGCCCUGGCUGUCAUUUAAGAGAUGCCAUUUGAUCCCACAUGUGUGGGACUUGCCAUAUUUCUCAUUCCCAUAAGGCUCUCUGGUGUACACCUGCAUUGUGCCUGCAGCCAAGCCCAAGGGGCAGGGGAGAAUGCAGCUCCCAGACUUUGGAAACCCUCUUUGGAGAUUUAAUUGACAGCACUUGGGGAUCCUGGGAACCCUGCAGCUGUGCCAUAUUAAUAUUUCACGUAAGCAUUUCUUACUCUCCUUAUGGAGGGGCACUGAGCUGCCUUCAUAUCGCCAUAAAAGAUUUGCCACUGCUAUCACCUGCCAUGAUAGCAGACUCACAAGGCCUUCAGGAUUUGCCCACGUUGCUGAUGUUUGAAGUCUCUUGUAUCUCUUGUGAUGCUGCUGCAAUCAGGUUUGCCAUUGUGUCUUUGCAUUCCUUGUCCAGACCACAUACAAGUGAACAUGCAGUGCCAGAAUUCUGCUCUGAGACUUUCUUCUGGCGUCUUGGAGCAUCUCUAGAUGCCCCAAGGAGCCUUUAUGUCCUGUUAACACAACAGUUUUGCUUUUUCUUGGUCAUUUAUUUGCUUCCUUGUUGAGCUGCCAUGGCUUCAGCACAUCUGUGGUUUAUUCUGCUGAAGCCUCCAGUGCAGGGAUGGAUGGGUCUGCUUUGCCCUUUCAUGCAGCACCCUAUGAGGGUUUGUCCCCUUGGUGAGAGCUGACUGCGGGGAAAUGGGAAUGGGGGUUGAGGUCUGGUUUUUGUACCAAAUUGAAGGUCUCAGAGAAGAGCUCACAGAUUCCAACAGCAUUGACACUUUUGCCCCCUGAAGCAAGAGCUGCUUUCCCCAGCCCCCUUCAGCAGUGCGCGUAUGUGGCUUUGCAUGCCAGCCUUCAGCUUGGUAACAGGGAGACUCUGAAAGCAGCUAGUCCAAGCUGUGCUAUUUCCAAAGCUGCCGGGGAAACUUGAAGCUUCUUCCUCUCUCCUCAUUUCUGCAAAUACAGCCUCAGAUGAAUUGUUCGAGCAGCAUCUGUUUGCCUGGUCCUGAGAAACUUGAGCUAACUGCAGCUACAAAGUUUUCCAAAACUCGUUGCCAAGCUCAGGCUAGAUUUCACCUGCAGCUACACCUGUUAUUUUAGGGCAGUGGUUUCAGGUAGAAGCCAUGCUAAGCUCUCCAGCUGCGGUGGUUCUGGCCCAAAACCAAGGCUGAAUGUCAUGCUGCCGGUGAAGCCUGCCCUGGGAUUUCAGCUCCAUGUGACACUGCUGAGUGUGGCCCUGAGGAAUUGCUGCCUCCUUCCCACUCUGCACAAGGAAAUCUUGGCACAAACCUUGUAAGCCGAGAUGAGACAAUGCCUCUGCAUUUCAGCAUGCUGUGAGCACCUCCCAUUAAGGCAGAAGCGGAGUUUCACUGUAACCUCUUGAAUUUGACCAUCACAGUGAGCAUCACCCAGUAUUUCACAUGUGCAGUGAUGCUCAUGAAAGGGAUUUAUUACAGAUGUGGGUAUAGAGGGCUCUUUCCUCUAGCAUCUUUGUAGACACUGAGUUCAGUUCUUGCUGGUGGAAAACUCAUCAAUGCUGGUGGCAGAUCUCUUCUGUCCUGCCUGGUUAUCCAUGCUGGUCCAGCAUCUCCCCUAGAGCUGAAGCUGCUCCUGUCUGUGGGCGGGACAUGGACCAUCCUGUGUUGGUUACUCUUCCCCACUACCUGACCCCAAGCCCUAAAAUUCAAACUAAGAUUUUAUUUUUUUCCCCCCAAAAUUGACACCAGAUGAGAAAACCUGAGACCUUCAGGAUGCCGGGGGCAAAACAAGGUACAGCUGAUAAUUACAGGGAUUUUGUUAUUUUAAACCAAGAGCAGAAUUUAAGCAUAGUUGCAGUUGCUGCGUGGUAUAUCAAAUGCUUUAGGAGAUUCAAUAAAUUAUUCUCAUAAAUGUUUUAUUCUUUGAUCAGUAAUUUGUAUAGGUGGGUGCUACUGCUCUUACACAGCAAUGCCCCAUACGCUCAAACUGUACUCUUUCUCCACUAUAGCCAUUGUAUGUAUGAAAUUUAUCUUGCUUCGUGUCACCUUGGCACAGUACCCACAUGGACUGCACACGGAUUGCACAUUACAUGCACUUGGCUGAUAGCUGUCCUUACAUGUAAUAGGCGUGUGUGUGUUGAACAGGUUCCAAACAAAGCGUUACCUGCCUGGUUAGUGGUGUAAUUCAGUGUAAGUGGGACAAGGGGAAAACAAAGGUCCUGUUUCGUUAGGAAAUACACCGCAUUCGAAUGCUUCUUUAACCAGAUUUUACCAGGAAGCCAAAUGAAGGGAGAUUGUUUCUGCAAUGUUACUUAAAGACAGCGGAACAAAACCACACAGCUCUGGAAUACUUCACUGCUGUAUUUCUAUCUGUUCUUCACUGCUGUUCAUCCGAACUGUAAAUUCUGUACAGAUUGAAUGAGGUUCGCAGUCUGUCAUGACCUGCGAGAUAGAAGGACAACACGACUUUGGCUGCAGCUGGUGUGUGUUGUUUGCACACAUGCACAUCUUGCUGUACGUGUGUGUAUGCAGACACAUGCACAUAUAAACUUUAAGGCAGAAACAUUCGCAUCUAAGAUGCACGGGGAAAAAAGAGAAGUUCUUUCUUCAGUGGCAGGAGAGUAGGUAAAACCAAAAUAAGAGGCCAUUUUGAUAGCAUUCCUAUCAAAAUUUAAGUCUCCAAUUGUCCCUAUAGUGAGAUUUCAAUGACCUUAAACAAUUUCCCCUCUAGGGUUUAAUUUUGCCCAUGUUUUCACAAAUGAUAAGAGAUUGGAUAGAACUCAUUCUUCUGUGUUUAAUGUAAAAAAAAAGAACCCAAAGCACGAAGAGCUAAAACUUUUCCAGUUAAAUGUUGCUGGAUGCCAUUGAAAAACUCAUAACUAAAUUUUCACUUGAGCCUGAAAUCCACCUCUGGUCCCGAAAUUAUCAGUUAUAAGAGCCAUUUAAAGGUACCGCACCAAAGGUACGCUCACUGCUGGAGCGUGUCACCAUUUCCCUGAGAUACCUUGAAGCUAUCACAGUUUACAGCAGGAUCUGGCUCCUUUGGCCUUAACCGGGCCAGAAAUGGUUCGUGCACUUGUCCUGAGGAUGAGCAGAGAGCUGAACGUUGUGCUGGGAUGGGCUGCUCUCGCGUUGCAGGGAGAAGGUGCUGCACGCGCUCACCUCCCGCCCAUCAUAAUCUCAGGCUCCGUUGAGCACUGAAGUUUGGUUGUCCUUCAGAAAGCAAAGGCAGCUGCUGCUUUGCUUCCUUUCAUUUGCUCUGUUGCCUUGGCUUUUUUGCACUUUUGUUUCAUCUCCAAAGAAUCUCUCAUAAUGCCUUUGGUACUUCUGUACAACUUUCGAACGUUUUGUAUGUAAUUGAAUGGUACACACUUGUAAUAUAGCAAUCAGCCUUUUUUUGGUGAAUGUGUAAUUUCCACUGUACAUUUCCACCAUGACUUUUUGCAAUGUACAUUUUCUAGGGACAGAUGCCAAGGGAACGACCUGUAGUUUUCUAAGGGAACCGCUAGGAGCAGAACGACACAGACACAGAUGGUUUCACAUUAGCACUGCAGAAGAGCAACAUAGCCCAGGCUUUUAGCAUUGAGCACGACUGUCUACGUGUGAUAUUAGAAUCAGCAGCGAUGGUUGCAAUCAGAAGGGAAAUGGAGGAGAAUUAAAUAAUCACACUCAUUAAUUUAAGCCUCGAAGCAUCAGAAUGGAAAAUUUGCAUUCAGUAAAAUUACCAGAGAUUUAACCUUCAUGAGAUGAAAUACA
This is a long non-coding RNA of Gallus gallus (chicken), 5399 nucleotides long. Lineage: Eukaryota; Metazoa; Chordata; Aves; Galliformes; Phasianidae. The record is from Ensembl.